Molecule: long non-coding RNA, 596 nt
Organism: Cyprinus carpio (common carp)
Lineage: Eukaryota; Metazoa; Chordata; Actinopteri; Cypriniformes; Cyprinidae
Exons: 3
Source: RefSeq, a predicted model, not a curated record
CCGUGACGGGUCUAUCUCCAGUUCCCGACACACAAAACAGCGGUGUCUCAAAUGCUUCUUACUUCGCAGCACGCACGCACGCACGCACACACACACACACACACACACCAUGGAAAAAAACAAAAACUAAACCUCCCCAAGCCAGUCGCGACCUGGAUAGAAUUACGUAAUGUUGCAGCCAGUGCGGCUGUCAUUCAGCAGGGAGGGAUGGGGGUUGUGAGGGAGAGAGAAAGAGAAAAAUGGGAGGCGGGAAGGCAGAGAAGCAAGAAGUCAGACUGAUCUAUUAGAGCUAAUAAUUACAAUAAUAAAACUGUAAAGAUGCAGUCAUCACCCUAGAGGCAUCGGGUACAAUCGUAGCCCUCUCAAGGUCAGACGAGGGAGGGCCGCUCUUUAACGGUUACCUGCUCAGACUCCAGAUAAUGUGGGAAGUCUGAAGUCUACAAAUAAAGCAGCUGAAGCUGGGAGCUAAAGAAACUCUGGCUCUGGGAGGAGGGUCUGCUACAGCAGCCACGCCCCAAACUCUUGCCAUUGGCUGGAUGGCUAAUAUAUAUGUUGGCAGGCAGGUAAGACAUCCUAUCAAUGCAUAUGGACCGAAU